RNAcentral lists this ribosomal RNA (447 nucleotides) under uncultured bacterium. Its description in RNAcentral is "bacterial SSU rRNA". It matches the Rfam family "Bacterial small subunit ribosomal RNA", at positions 355 to 825 of the family's 1533-position model. The record is from RNAcentral.
UCGGGAAUUUUGGGCAAUUGGCGAAAGCCUGACCCAGCAACGCCGCGUGAAGGAUGAAGUAUUUCGGUAUGUAAACUUCGAAAGAAUAGGAAGAAUAAAUGACGGUACUAUUUAUAAGGUCCGGCUAACUACGUGCCAGCAGCCGCGGUAAUACGUAGGGACCAAGCGUUGUUCGGAUUUACUGGGCGUAAAGGGCGCGUAGGCGGCAAUUCAAGUCAUCUGUGAAAUCUCCGGGCUUAACUCGGAACGGUCAGAUGAUACUGCUUUGCUAGAGUGCAGAAGGGGCAAUCGGAAUUCUUGGUGUAGCGGUGAAAUGCGUAGAUAUCAAGAGGAACACCUGAGGUGAAGACGGGUUGCUGGGCUGACACUGACGCUGAGGCGCGAAAGCCAGGGGAGCAAACGGGAUUAGAUACCCCUGUAGUCCCUGAGCGGGCUGGCAAGGCGCAU